Molecule: RNA transcript, 5997 nt
Organism: Lagenorhynchus albirostris (white-beaked dolphin)
Lineage: Eukaryota; Metazoa; Chordata; Mammalia; Artiodactyla; Delphinidae
Gene name: myoferlin
Exons: 40
Source: RefSeq, a predicted model, not a curated record
UCUUCCCCCGCCUUCUCUCCCGGGCGGCGCGGCCGCGAGCUCCAGAGCCCGUGUCUUCUUAACUUCGUUGCUGAAAUUUGGUUUCUGCCCAUUGAGAGCCAUGCUUCGAGUGAUUGUUGAAUCUGCCAGCAAUAUCCCUAAAACGAAAUUUGGGAAACCGGAUCCUAUUGUUUCUGUUAUUUUUAAGGAUGAGAAAAAGAAAACAAAGAAAGUCGAUAAUGAACUCAACCCAGUGUGGAAUGAGAUUUUGGAGUUCGACCUGAGGGGUAUACCACUGGACUUCUCAUCGUCCCUUGGGAUUGUUGUGAAAGAUUUUGAGACAAUUGGACAAAAUAAGUUAAUUGGCACGGCCACCGUAGCCCUGAAAGACCUGAUUGGCGACCAGAGCCGAUCGCUGCCCUACAAACUGAUCUCCCUGCUAAACGAAAGGGGGCAAGAGACUGGGGCCACCAUUGACCUGGUGAUCGGCUAUGAUCCACCUUCAGCUCCACAUCCGGAUGACCCCAGUGGGACCAGCGUGCCAGGCUUGGGAGGAGAAGAAGAGGAUGGUGGCGGUGAUGAGGACGGGUUGGACAGUACGGUCAGGGGCCCAGGGCCCAGGGGGCCGGGACGGAUGGUGUCGGAAGCUCACCUUGCCCGGAGGCUCACGAAAGGGAAGAACAGCCGGUGGAUGCUGUCCAACAAGCCACAGGACUUCCAGAUCCGUGUCUGGGUGAUCGAGGGCCGGCAGUUAAGUGGCAACAACAUCAAGCCUGUGGUCAAAGUCCACAUCUGUGGCCAGACCCACCGAACAAGAAUCAAGAGAGGGAACAAUCCGUUUUUUGAUGAGUUAUUUUUCUACAAUGUCCACCUGACUCCUUCUGAAUUGAUGGAUGAGAUCAUCAGCAUUCGGGUUUAUAAUUCCCAUUCUCUGCGGGCAGAUUGUCUGAUGGGGGAAUUUAAGAUUGAUGUCGGAUUCAUUUAUGAUGAACCUGGUCAUGCUGUCAUGAGAAAAUGGCUUCUCCUCAGUGACCCUGAAGAUACCAGCUCGGGUGCUAAAGGCUACAUGAAAGUCAGCAUGUUGGUCCUGGGAACCGGAGAUGAGCCUCCUCCUGAGAUACAAGAUCGUGGUAAUGACAGUGAUGACGUGGAGAGUAACUUGUUACUCCCUGCUGGCAUCGCCCUCCGAUGGGUGACCUUCCUGCUGAAGAUCUACAGAGCAGAGGACAUCCCCCAGAUGGAUGACGCCUUCUCACAGACAGUAAAGGAAAUAUUUGGAGGCAGUGCAGAUAAGAAAAACCUAGUGGAUCCUUUUGUAGAAGUUUCUUUUGCUGGAAAAAAGGUUUGCACAAAUAUAAUUGAGAAAAAUGCAAACCCUGAGUGGAAUCAAGUCGUCAAUCUUCAGAUCAAGUUUCCUUCAGUGUGUGAAAAAAUAAAACUAACAAUAUAUGACUGGGACCGUAUUACGAAAAAUGAUGUCAUUGGGACAACAUAUCUGCACCUCUCUAAAAUUGCUGCCUCUGGUGGGGAAGUGGAAGAUUUCUCAUCUUCGGGAUCUGGGGCUGCAUCAUAUACAGCAAAUACAGGAGAAACAGAGGUGGGCUUUGUUCCAACGUUUGGACCUUGUUAUCUGAACCUUUAUGGAAGCCCCAGAGAGUACACGGGAUUCCCAGAUCCCUAUGAUGAGCUAAAUACUGGAAAGGGGGAAGGAGUAGCCUACCGAGGCAGAAUCUUGGUUGAAUUAAGCACUUUACUUGAAAAGACACCCCCAGAUAAAAAGCUUGAGCCCAUUUCAAAUGAUGACCUGCUGGUUGUUGAGAAAUAUCAGCGAAGGCGGAAGUACAGCCUGUCUGCUGUGUUCCAUUCGGCCACCAUGUUGCAAGACGUUGGCGAGGCCAUUCAGUUUGAAGUCAGCAUUGGGAACUAUGGCAACAAGUUUGACACGACCUGUAAGCCUUUGGCGUCAAGCACUCAAUACAGCCGUGCCGUGUUUGAUGGGAACUACUAUUAUUACUUGCCUUGGGCCCACACAAAGCCAGUUGUCACACUGACUUCAUACUGGGAGGAUAUUAGUCAUCGCCUGGAUGCAGUGAACAUGCUACUAGUCAUGGCAGAACGGCUGCAAUCAAAAAUAGAGGCUCUAAAAUCAGGGAUACAAGGUAAAAUUCCCGCAAACCAGUUGGCAGAAAUGUGGUUGAAGCUGAUCGAUGAAGUAAUAGAAGACACAAGAUACACGUUGCCUCUCAUGGAAGGAAAACCUAAUGUCACAGUUCUUGAUAAUCACAUCCAAAAGCUGCGAUCCAGAGCUCUCUCCCAGAUACACGAGGCGGCUGUGAGGAUGAGGUCUGAGGCCACAGAGGUGAAGCCCACAUUGGCAGAAAUCGAGGACUGGCUCGAUAAAUUAAUGCAACUGACUGAAGAGCCUCAGAACAGCAUGCCUGACAUCAUCAUCUGGAUGAUCCGGGGAGAGAAAAGACUGGCCUACGCACGCAUUCCCGCGCAUCAGGUGUUAUACUCCACCAGUGGUGACAAUGCAUCUGGGAAAUACUGUGGGAAAACCCAAACCAUCUUUCUGAAGUACCCACAGGAAAAAAACAAUGGACCAAAGGUGCCUGUGGAGUUGCGUGUGAACAUCUGGCUGGGCUUAAGUGCUGUUGAGAAGAAGUUCAAUAGCUUCGCAGAAGGAACAUUCACCGUCUUUGCUGAAAUGUAUGAAAAUCAAGCUCUUAUGUUUGGAAAAUGGGGCACUUCUGGAUUAGUGGGUCGUCAUAAAUUUUCUGAUGUCACGGGAAAAAUAAAACUCAAGAGGGAAUUCUUUUUGCCUCCAAAAGGCUGGGAAUGGGAAGGAGACUGGAUAGUUGAUCCUGAAAAAAGCUUGCUGACCGAGGCGGAUGCAGGUCACACAGAGUUCACAGAUGAAUUGUAUCAGAACGAGAGUCGCUACCCCCGGGGCGAGUGGAAGCCAGCAGAGGACACCUACACAGAUGCGAACGGUGAUAAAACAGCAUCACCCAGCGAGCUCACUUGCCCUCCAGGUUGGGAAUGGGAAGAUGAUGCAUGGGUCUAUGACAUUAAUCGUGCAGUGGAUGAGAGAGGCUGGGAGUAUGGAAUUAUCAUUCCUCCUGAUAAUAAGCCCAAAUCCUGGGUUGCAGCAGAAAAAAUGUAUCAUACUCAUAGACGCCGAAGGCUGGUCCGAAAACGCAAGAGAGAUUUAACACAAACCACUUCAAGUACUGCAAAGGCCAUGGAAGAAUAUAAAGACCAGGAGGGCUGGGAAUACGCUUCUUUAAUUGGCUGGAAAUUUCACUGGAAACAGCGUAGUUCAGAUACCUUUCGCCGCAGAUGCUGGAGGAGAAAAAUGGCUCCUUCGGAGACGCAUGGCGCAGCUGCCAUCUUUAAACUUGAAGGUGCCCUUGGUGCAGAUACUACCGAGGAUGGAGAUGAAAAGAGUGUAGAAAAACAGAAACACAGCGCCACUGCUGUGUUUGGAGCAAACACUCCCAUUGUUUCCUGUAAUUUUGACAGAGUCUACAUUUACCAUCUGCGUUGCUAUAUCUAUCAAGCCAGAAACCUCAUGGCUCUAGACAAGGAUAGCUUUUCAGAUCCAUAUGCUCAUGUCUCCUUCCUUCAUCGAAGUAAAACCACCGAGAUCAUCCACUCAACCCUGAAUCCUACCUGGGACCAAACGAUUAUAUUUGAUGAAAUUGAAAUCUAUGGGGAACCCCAAACAGUCCUACAGAACCCACCCAAGGUUGUCAUUGAACUUUUUGACAAUGACCAAGUGGGCAAAGAUGAGUUUUUAGGACGAAGCAUGUGCUCUCCUCUGGUGAAACUAAACUCAGAAAUGGACAUCACACCCAAACUUCUCUGGUACCCAGUAAUGAAUGGAGACAAAACCUGUGGGGAUGUCCUUGUCACUGCAGAGCUGAUCCUGAGGCACAAGGAUGGCUCCAACCUUCCCAUUCUUCCCUCACAAAGGGCACCAAGUCUGUACAUGGUCCCCCAGGGCAUCAGGCCUGUGGUUCAGCUCACUGCUGUUGAGAUUCUAGCUUGGGGCUUAAGAAAUAUGAAAAACUACCAGAUGGCUUCUGUCACCUCCCCCAGUCUCAUUGUGGAGUGCGGAGGGGAAAGGGUAGAAUCAGUGGUGAUCAAAAACCUGAAGAAGACGCCCAACUUCCCAAGUUCUGUUCUCUUCAUGAAAGUGUUCUUGCCUAAGGAGGAACUGUACAUGCCUCCGCUGGUGAUCAAGGUCAUCGACCACCGGCAGUUUGGGCGCAAGCCCGUUGUGGGCCAGUGCACCAUUGACCGCCUGGACCGCUUUCGCUGCGACCCUUAUGCAGGAAAGGAGGACAUCGUGCCACAGCUAAAAGCCUCCUUUUUGUCUACCCCACCCUGCCGGGACGUUGUUAUUGAAAUAGAAGACACCAAACCAUUACUGGCAUCAAAGUGCUUAAGCAGUAUGUCAACAGCACUCAGCAAAAUGGCUUCUCCAACAACAGUGCAUGUAUGUAUGAUAAGAAAAUGCAUGAUGCUGCCUGGGGCUGCGGGGACCUCGGUCUAAAGACUUGAACUCUCCUUUCACAUUCUUUCUAGAUUUUGGAGUGAAAGACGAUCUUUAAACAAAUGUGAUUAUUUUAAGCUUCAGGGGAGAAUCUUCUGUGCCAUUUGGAUAUAAUGAAGCAAGUUACUCUAGCUGCUUCAGCUACUUUGCCACGUGAACUAAUGAGCAAGCGGACAUGAAUAAAUUCUCCCAUAUUAAUCCUAGAUCUUAACAUCAGCCAUCUGUUCUGAAUAACGCUUUUUAAAUCAUGAACUAUUCAUUUCUUUGAAAUGAUUUCCAAUAGCUGAGGGUAGAUGUGAAUAAACAGACUCUAAAACUAUGAAUUCAGGAACGAUUCAGAAUGUGAAAACACUUUUGGCAUAAAGUCCCUCUCUCCAAAAUCUCAAUUCAGCUGUGAUGAUUUAACUUUUAAUCUCGCUUUGACAUGAAUCUAAUAGAAAGAAUUGUUAUAUCUAUCUGUCUCGCUGCCUCUCUUGGCAUUUCCGUGUGCUGAACAAAAGUCGAUGUGGAAAAUGCCGAGGGGCACUUGCAGAAGAAGCCCCGUGGCCGCCCAGCACUCCCUGCAGGAAGUGCCUGUAGUGACGAGUCGCUGUCCCCUCACAGUGGAAAUGAACUUGAAGUUAGGAGGUAGCAAUUCUUCAGACUGCCCCUAAGGGUGAGCUUGGCUUAUGUUCCAGCAGGUACCAAGAGAAAAGUCAAGCCCCAGCAUCCUAGCUGUCCAUUCUCUCAUCUCCUGGUGGAUUCUCCACGCAGAAACGCAAAUGGGAGGAUUUGGCCAAUGAGAGACUUGACAUCCAUUUAUGGGUGGAUAUGUAUAUAGGUGCUUUAUCGUCGGCAUGGGGAAAAAUCAAGAAAAGAUACUUACAUGAUGGUGCUGCAGUCAUGUUGGACAUAAACAUCUUGGGACAGGAGUUUUUGAAGGAAUGAGAAUUAGGCCAAGUUGGGGAUAUACUUUAGAAGCUAAAUGGAAUAAGAGGUUUGGGGCAGGAAGAUGAGUAACUGUAUUCAUCCCCACCUCCACCCCACCUUCUCUGUGAUCACUAUGCUGGUGGACAGAUUGUCCAACUCUAUUAAGACAUGGGACAUGGGUGGCUACCUCCAAGCCUUUUAUUUUAAUACUGUUUGUAACUCUUUUGCACAUUUCAGAGAAGAAGCCAAUAAGGUGUGUUCAAUUAUGAGAUCAUCUUGAAUAAAUAAUCCAUCAAAAUGUUGAUAACAUAAGGCAUGGAUGAACAGUAACAUCUCCUUUUCUCUUUCUCAUUGAAUCUAAUGCUCAUGGGGUCUCCAUCUCUGUGUGACCUGUACGUGGUUCGUCCUCUUCCUGCCCAUAUAUAUGCGAUGGGCAGCUAACAGAAAAGGAGGAAGAAAUUAUUGACUGGUGGAGUAAAUAUUAUGCUUCCACAGGGGAACAUGAAAAAUGUGGACAAUAUAUUCAGAAAGGCUAUCCCAAACUCCAG